UGAUAAAGAAAGGAAUUAAACCCGUGUAAAUAGGACUACAGCCUACCGCCUACCAUUCGGCCACUUUACCU
Molecule: transfer RNA, 71 nt
Filed under: Anolis duellmani (Duellman's pigmy anole)
Lineage: Eukaryota; Metazoa; Chordata; Lepidosauria; Squamata; Anolidae
Description: tRNA-Tyr
Source: RNAcentral